AUUCAGAUUUCCUACUUUCUUUCUCCUAGGGAAUAGUCUUUCCUUUCCAACAGCUUUGCCCUAUAGCUGAAUUAAAAUUUCUAAACCUGAGUCCUGUUGGCAGCUUUUUAGCAGCAGAGCUGUGCAGGCGGUUGUAUGGAGAGGAGAGGGAAGAAAACCCCUCAGAACAACCUUCAAAAUCCACCGUCAAUAGUUAGAUAGUUGUACCCUGUCUUCAUGCAGCCUGUGUUUACUUCUGGGGCAAGAUGCUACUGGAAGGAGCGUGCUCUCUUAGAUGCAAAGAGCCAGAGAUUUCCUGAGUCAUGGGCAGCUGAGGAGGACAGAAAUAUCAAUGAGAUGGAAGCAGGUUGGAAGUCUCAAUGGCUGGAUAUUGAUUUGAAGUUCUUUGGUAAAAACAGGAACCAGAGCAUUGACAAAAUAAGCAUACCUUGUGCAGCAAAUAGUUUAUUGAUGAUCUGCCUGCAACGAAGUCAUGGAGUCGACCUUACUGCCUUUCCUUACAGGAUUUCUCUGACUGCGGUGUUGAAAGGGCAGAAAUAAUACAUUAAUUUUGUGUUAGAGCUGGGGGAAUUACCUCUUUGGGUUUGUUUGUCAUGUCAGCUUUGUUAAUUACCCAAAGAGCUUUCUUGAUGGUUAUUAUUACAGGCAAUUUUAUGCUUUCAAGCUCUGGAGACCAAACCUCUGUAAACAAAAAAUAUAUGGGUCUGCUUAUACUGCUCUCUGACCUGAGUUUCUAUUAAUGUGUACAUGUGUCCAGGGAGUAAGUAGUCUGUGUAGGGAGGGAACAAAAUAAAGAAUAUUCCCAGUAUGUAUCUGGAGUGAAU
This 824-nucleotide long non-coding RNA is filed under the name Numida meleagris (helmeted guineafowl). Its description in RNAcentral is "lncRNA (ENSNMEG00000019551.1)". Lineage: Eukaryota; Metazoa; Chordata; Aves; Galliformes; Numididae. The record is from RNAcentral.